GCCAAAUAAGGGUUCCAUCCUGUCAGGUAGACAGUAUCACAGCCGUGAGACACCUGGUCAGUGGAAUUUUCCACUACAACCGUUUGGUGACCAACACAUAGAGAAAGCACAAAACAAGAGGCGGAACUAACAUCGUCAACAACAACUCGAGCGAUAAGAAAAGUAGAAGGAGAGAUUGAUCAGCAUUAUUCUUCUGAACUGUAUAUAAAGGGGAAGUCUUCCUCUGCCCCAACAGGAUUCCAACGUCUCACAGACGAAGGCUUCCACCAUCUCAGUGAAGAAGGACUUUUUACUCCGUCCCUCAUCUCUUCCUCAUCUCUUCCUCUAUACAUCAGUGUCCUUCUCUGCUGCAAACAUGAGGAACCUGAUCUCUGUGGCUGUGAUCGUUACUGUGGCAUUCACAGUAGCAGGCCUGAAACUCAGAGGAAAAGAAGUGCAGUUUGGAGACAUAAUUGCUUUUUCACCUACGUGUAAACCGGGUGUUACAUAUCAGCAUUAUGCUGUUUAUGUGGGCGACAGAUUUCCUGGCCAAGGCGACAUAUUUGAACGCACAAGUACGUGCACCUACAAACUAUGUCCUUCAUUGAAAGCAGCAAUACAACUCCCUCAGAUGUGAAACCAUUUAUCACCACACUGAAAAACCCUGUGAGAAAAAUUGAAUGAAAGUUCCUCUGUCUUGUUCACAUAAAGCUCUGAGUUAUAAUGAGAAUAAUUACCACCACUCAAAGUUUAAACAGAAACACUGUUGGUAGAUCAGCAGAAGUUAGAACAACAUGUUGUUUUUAUGAUAAUCUUUUCCUUUAUUAGGGCCAUGUUGAAGAAAAACACAUCUGAGAUUCUGAGAGAAGUCGUAAUAUUACAAGAAAACAUUUAAAGUUUAGUAAUAAUAAAUAAAGUAAUAAUUUUAGGCUACGUGUCACGUUACAUCCCAGAAGCUCUGUCUCCUGUGUUAAAAUGAGGAAUGUGCAGCAUCUUGUUUAGUUAAACUUUAGAAUAAGUUUCAUGAAUAUCAAAAUCCUUGAUGUUUUGUCUCAUCUCAUCCUUUAGACAUGGAAAAUAUCAUUGCAAACUAUUGGCUUGUUAGCAUUGUCUCUGUGAACAUCUUAGCAUGCUAACACUAGCAUAUGACGUCAACCAAAUGCCGCGUUCCAUUACACCGCGGAGCUCCGAAUUGGAAGUUGCAACCGGAACGCCCUCUCAAGUUCGAAUGCCGACUUGGACUUUGAAAUCCAAGAUGGCCACUCCGUGUAUCAACAGCUAAAGUUGUUACUGUUUAUAAUCACUUCUCUCAUUAGAUUUGUCGUACACAUAGUACUGUCCAAUUACGUUCUGCGGACGUGUUACUACGUCGUUGGUAUGCGUGAAAUGUGACGUCAUUCCGAGGUGUAACUGAUUAUAGUCUAUGGCUCAAACCAAUGUUUAGCAUCAUAGAGCUGCUAGCGUGGCUGCAGGCUACAAGAGCAGAUAG
This is a long non-coding RNA of Hippoglossus stenolepis (Pacific halibut), 1468 nucleotides long. RefSeq lists it as uncharacterized. NCBI's taxonomy places the organism in Eukaryota, Metazoa, Chordata, Actinopteri, Pleuronectiformes, Pleuronectidae. The transcript is spliced from 5 exons. The record is from RefSeq and is a predicted model, not a curated record.